AGAGUUUGAUCAUGGCUCAGGACGAACGCUGGCGGCGUGCUUAACACAUGCAAGUCGAACGAUGAACCUCCUUCGGGAGGGGAUUAGUGGCGAACGGGUGAGUAACACGUGGGCAACCUGCCCCGCACACUGGGAUAAGCCCUGGAAACGGGGUCUAAUACCGGAUAUGACUCAAGGUCGCAUGGUCUUGGGUGGAAAGCUCCGGCGGUGCGGGAUGGGCCCGCGGCCUAUCAGCUUGUUGGUGAGGUAACGGCUCACCAAGGCGACGACGGGUAGCCGGCCUGAGAGGGCGACCGGCCACACUGGGACUGAGACACGGCCCAGACUCCUACGGGAGGCAGCAGUGGGGAAUAUUGCACAAUGGGCGCAAGCCUGAUGCAGCGACGCCGCGUGAGGGAUGAAGGCCUUCGGGUUGUAAACCUCUUUCAGCAGGGAAGAAGCUCUUGAGUGACGGUACCUGCAGAAGAAGCGCCGGCUAACUACGUGCCAGCAGCCGCGGUAAUACGUAGGGCGCGAGCGUUGUCCGGAAUUAUUGGGCGUAAAGAGCUCGUAGGCGGCUUGUCGCGUCGGUUGUGAAAGCCCGGGGCUUAACUCCGGGUCUGCAGUCGAUACGGGCAGGCUAGAGUUCGGUAGGGGAGAUCGGAAUUCCUGGUGUAGCGGUGAAAUGCGCAGAUAUCAGGAGGAACACCGGUGGCGAAGGCGGAUCUCUGGGCCGAUACCGACGCUGAGGAGCGAAAGCGUGGGGAGCGAACAGGAUUAGAUACCCUGGUAGUCCACGCCGUAAACGGUGGGCACUAGGUGUGGGCGGCAUUCCACGUCGUCCGUGCCGUAGCUAACGCAUUAAGUGCCCCGCCUGGGGAGUACGGCCGCAAGGCUAAAACUCAAAGGAAUUGACGG
This 897-nucleotide ribosomal RNA is filed under the name uncultured bacterium. Its description in RNAcentral is "bacterial SSU rRNA". It matches the Rfam family "Bacterial small subunit ribosomal RNA", at positions 8 to 916 of the family's 1533-position model. The record is from RNAcentral.